GAUUGAGUUAUGAAAGCUAGUAAAAAGUUUCUAAGAGCCAUUACUACAUGUGGUUGUUAAAAAGAAACAGCUCCCACUAAACACAUCAAACAUGAUAGGAGAUCAGCCAAUACGGCAGAUUGAGCACCUUCAUAAAGAACAAAUUUGAAUAGUCAAGAGUAAAGCCUGCGAAACAACAAUGACCAAGACCAAUAUAUAAAAGCUGCUAGCAACCUCCUAGUCUUGCCUAUUGCAUCUUUCUCAAACCAUGCUUCACCAGCAUUUAACAGAUCUUCACCAAAUAAAAUACUGCAAAUGAGUUAACACUAUCAUCUAAAAAGUUCAUCUUUCAUAAGCAUGCUAGCAUUGCAAAUCUCAUAAACAAUUUAGCCAAUACAGUGCUAUAAGGUUAAGACUUUGCAUUUUGAUAGGUGAUGCACAUAAUGCAUGGGCAACAUCAAGGUGCCACUAUUGCUAACCUAAGUAGUUAAAAAUUUUAGCUAUCUAUAAUGGUUUCAAAAAUAAGCAGAUGAGACGAUAGAGCAAUACAAAAGCUCAAUAUAUAAAACACUGACAUGUAUCAGACUACGAUCUUAGAUAUUUAGCAACAGAAAUUAGAAAUAGGUAAUUGUUAUGUUGAUAAAAAAUAUGAUAACACAUAACAUAAAGCGCAGGAGAAAUGUCACAAUGCUAUCAUUGCUUCCUUGUAUUCUUUAAGAUUUGGAGUGCUUCCAAUAGCUUUCGAGAGCAAGUCUGUGAGUUGAUAUACCUCUAAGGAAGCUGGGUAUAUGAAAACAUGUGUGCAUUUG
RNAcentral lists this long non-coding RNA (788 nucleotides) under Phoenix dactylifera (date palm). RNAcentral describes it as "long non-coding RNA (PDAC_LNC007636)". Lineage: Eukaryota; Viridiplantae; Streptophyta; Magnoliopsida; Arecales; Arecaceae. The record is from RNAcentral.